Regulatory RNA element from Advenella mimigardefordensis DPN7, 82 nucleotides. It matches the Rfam family "SucA RNA motif". NCBI's taxonomy places the organism in Bacteria, Pseudomonadati, Pseudomonadota, Betaproteobacteria, Burkholderiales, Alcaligenaceae. The record is from Rfam.
CCGCUAUCCGCAACUCGGUCUAGCCGUAACCCGGAAGGUAUACCUGCAUCUCAAAGGGUGAAACACCCGCAACGGUGAAGCG